Long non-coding RNA from Capsicum annuum, 11002 nucleotides. RefSeq lists it as uncharacterized. NCBI's taxonomy places the organism in Eukaryota, Viridiplantae, Streptophyta, Magnoliopsida, Solanales, Solanaceae. The transcript has 4 exons. The record is from RefSeq and is a predicted model, not a curated record.
UAUGUAAAAUUUGAACAAUCCCUUAACCCUAGUCUCUAACAAACAACUCUUCCAGCCACCGCUAGUCUCCCUUUGUCUCCAUCAUUUCCCUAUUUCCCCCACCAAAACUCACUGGCCAUCCACCUUUUCUUCCCCUAUCAUCAUGCAAAUCAGCCAUGACACCACCUUCUGAGCAUCAUCAUUAACCUCCUUUUACCAUUGUUCUAUCUUGGAACACCGUUACACCAACCGAAAAAAUUCAUCGUACCUACGACCAAUAGAUCUUCACUGCACUAAUACAGUUAACCUCCAUUACCCCCUCCCCCCACAAAAUGCCAGAAUUGGUAAUGAUCUACAAGUAUUCAGAUGCAAAUGGGAACGCAGAAUCAGUUAUCAAGUAUAAAGAGGUGUCAAUCUUUUUGGGUCGGACAGCAAAAAAGCAUGGUCGUAUGCAUAAGCUAAUCGUUACAUGACUUGGUUGAUGGAAAUUCUUAUGUCUAUACAAGGGUCACAAAUGGAGACAAAUGAUCCUACUGAUAGUUACAUGCUAUAGAGAAAUCAAAUUUCAAGGCAAGAAGAAGCUGUCCAUGAUCAAAAUGAGUAGGCUGCAGGGGGGAAAAUAUGCAGGAGAUUUCAGACAGUUUUUUUUUACAGAAAAAAGGGAAUAGCUACUCUUUCUAAUCAUCAAGAAGUCAAGAAAUCUGAUGAUACAGGUGUCAGAAUUGAUCGAACUACUUGUGGAAACAGGGAGUUUCAGAAUGUAUCACUAGGUACUGGUUCUGGGCAGAAAACAAGUGAGGAAGUUGCGGUGAAAGUCAAAGGAAUGGGCAUCAGUUAACGUGUAAGCAACCUGGUGAUGCAAUUUUGCAAGGCAAUAGAAAUUUGUCGACGCAAGCGAGGAACUCUAAGGAUGUAACACAUAAAAGGAAUUCUAGUAGAUCACAAGAAAAGAAGACGGAUAUGAGCUGGUGCAAUUAAUUUCAAAUUCCAGUAGCACUGAAAAUGUUGCAUGGAAUUUUGAUGCUUUUGUUUCUAGGUCAAAUGCAAGAGACUUGGGCAAAGGUUUGGACAUGGCUAAUGAGAAGGGAUGGACCGCUCACAUAUGAAGAAUGUAGUAACUCUAAUGGGUUCAUCAGGUCACAACAAGAUACAACAAAUUUAUUGAUCUUAUGUCUCUAAGGAUUUACUUAGCACAAACUUGUAAGACAUUUUGAUGAAUAAAGGGAGUUGCAGCUGUCAGAACAAAGGAUGAAUUGCAAUCCAAGGAGAUGCAACUUAUGCUGGUUAAUGUUGGUCACAAACCCUCUACUGUUACCCUCACUUCAAUUGGAGUUCAAAUUCUGGAUAACAUGAUGUACUGCCUAGAAAUUCAUUUACAAUAAUCAUGAUAUUAAUCAGCCCAAAGGGAAUUGAAAGAAAACUGGGACACCCAUUCCAGUUUUUGAUUUAGUCACGAUGAACACCUCUGCACAAGAAAUUCCUUCACAAUAAUUGGAAUUAUCUGCAGAAAAAAAAAUACAACUUUGAAGGAGGUGAACAAGAAACAACUUGGACAACAUUAUCAAGUUGUAUCUAUGGUGUCUUCAGCAACAAAAUUCAGCAGUUCAUGAGGCUGCCAAGUCACUCAACUCAAAUAUAAACAAACCCACUCAAUGUGACGUUGAACACCUUGGGUCAUGAGGUCCCUUCCCAAUCUUUGGAAUUGCUUGGGGAACAUCAAGGUGAAUCUGGACAGCUCGAAUUGUCCACAGGGAGUAAUAAAAACUUGAUGUAAGGGGAGAUAAGUACUCCUUGCUGGUUUGAUUUGGUUGAUGGAGUGUAGUAAGUUUCACCUCCUCAUUUGAAUAGAAAAUAUUGGUGUAUAUGCAUUUUAUUAGUAAAUUAAUAUAUUAAGUGCAUAUGUUAGUGGGUAUAAAUUGUGUAUUAUGAGUAUUAUUACUUACAUAUAUUAGUGGAAGAAUGUGGUCAUAAGUUUUCAUGAAACUCCUACGACUACUAAUACUUUAUUUGCUCAUUAUGAUAGUAACUCAUGUAACAUCCAAACUAUUCAUCUGCACACAUUACUAUCCCUCAUUCAUCUCAUUACAGAAAAGGAUAAGUACCUCUUCUAUAAAUAGAGGUGGUCUUCUAUACUCUUGUAUGAAGUAGAAAAAAUGAUGUGUGAAAAUUAUAUUAGUGAAAGAGAGAGUUGAGAUAAAGAAAAUUUUACAAGAUCAGCCAUAGUAUCUCGAUGGAACUCAGACACCACAUAAUUUUUAAAUACUCGUCUAGCAAUGAUAUAGUCACUAACAUGGGUAGGGACAGAGAAGGGUUCAGAAAUAUUUUCAGGCUCAAAAUCAAAACUAACGCCACAUAAGGGGUCAUAUAAGACAAGGAAGACCCGGGAUCCCAUAACAUAUAGAUAUCACGAGAGAAGAUUUGUAACAUACUAGUAACCACAUCUGGUGAAUCCUCUGUGUCCUGACGAGUAGACAAAGCAUAUAGAUGGUUAUGACCACCACUUGUACCUGAAGUAGUGCCUUGAACUAAAGGCGUCGAGGGGUUUCCUUGAGCCUUAGCACCCCUAAAGGUCCCCUUUGCAGAGGGACAUUCCUUGAUGACUACACCCAUAACACAUAAAAGUUCUAACCUGACACUUUCCUUGGGGAUUCUUUUUAUAAUUGUUGCAGUGUGGAUGAAAUAGGACUGGUUCACUCCUCUAUGAGUAUGAGUGUCUUGAUUUCAUGGCCCGUACUAGGAUUAAAAUUCUUCUCACCUGAAGAUCUGGGUGCAAGAGCAUUAGCUGAAGACUGAGCAUUACUCAAAAGAUUUAUCUUGGACCACUUCUUGCCCCAUUUUCCACCCUACUACUGACUGAUAUUCUAAUUGGCCGACCUAGAUUUCUUAGACUGCCUUUCCUUAUUCCAUGCCUUUUUUUCUUCUCUUUCUCCACUUGUUGUAUGUACACUACCUGGAGAUAUCUAUAUCACAGUUUAGAACAACCCUCUUACACUCUAAUACCAAAUCUUCAGAGAGACUGGAUGCAAACUUCCUCAUGUAAGACCUCAAAUUUGACACCAACUCUGGGGCAUAGUAAGAUAGCUAGGUGAAUUUUAAAAUAUACUCUUUGACGCUUAUCUUCCCCUACUUCAGAUUAAUAAAUUAUUCAGCUUUAGCUUCCAUCAACCCCUAGGAAAGAAGACAUCUAGAAAAGCCUGUAAGAACUCCUCCCAUUAUGCAGGUUCAGUAUCCUUAACCCUUAACUCUUCCCACUCAUCGCGCCACUGAUUAGGCACAUCUUUCAGGUGAUAAGAUACAAACUCUACCCCAUCAAUAUCACUAGAAUGCAAGACUCUAAAUAUCUUUUCUAUCUCAUCCACGAACCCUUGAAGAUCCUCCUCAACCUUAGUACUCAUAAAGGCGGGUGGGUUAAGCCUCAUGAAUUAACCAACCCGAGUGAUUUUAGAAGGAUAAUGCACAAAACCUAUAUCUCCAGCCCGAUGAGACUAAGAAGUCAUAAACUGGUAAUCAUAUGGAUAUACUGAUGGAAAAUAUUUAAGACCUCACUAUAUGAGGACUGAGUACGGUUAGAACCAGUCCGAGGAGCUUAAGGAGGGCUAAUGGGGACUGAUGGAACCCCUAGAGAGUAUAGAAGUCUAGACUACGGGCUUUAUAACAGGUCCGACCCAUAAGUAGGGAGGACGUCUUCAGUAUUUUCCCCAAUAGAUACAGAGUUCCCAUCUAAGGUUUUUGACCAUUAGAUCUACGGGGUGGCAUGACCUGAGAUUUUGAAUUUCAUGAACUUAGGAAAUAUUCAAACCCUACAGUAUGAACUAGAACAUAAAGAAAAAGGAAAACAUUCUUAAAUGCCUCGUAGCUUCAUCCUUAUAUGUGUGGAGUACUACACACCCAUCAAAAGGACUCUACUCGACACAACUUCGUAGAUACCUUAGGCUUGAACCAUGCUCUGAUACCAAGUUUUGCAUGACCCAAAUGGACACCCUGAUUGCAACAGGCGUCCCAAACUAUGAAUGCUCGAGAGACCCCUUAGCAAGUUAUCAUAACCAUUAUUCAUAUCAAAGAAAAACGGAAGAUAAACAAAAAUAUAAAAAUGAUUUAUAACCAUACUUAAUACUUCAAGACAUAAAUUCAUGAAAAACCUAAAUCUUAUCUAACAUGACUACAAAGACUCUACUAAAACAUUAGCCUGUCUAAACCGGGGCAAGGCCCCCGGUUGGGCCAAAAAACUGACUAAAACUAACAUAUAAAUAGAAUGCCUUCUGAAGUAAGUGAGGUUCACCAACUCUAAAUAAUUGAGAGCAUUCUACUGCUGAACUGGAAAUCUGUAUUAUAAGGUUCAAUACUUUUAAAGUAUUAGUAUGUAGAACUAACCCAAAAUAACAUAUAGUUUAGGUAAAAUAAUUUAGAGCAUUGGAAAAGCGAUUUAGCAUAAUGUAUAUAAAAACACAUGGGCAUAGAUUAAGAGCUUCAAAACAUUCUAGUAAACACAUAAUCUCAACUUUUUAUUUUAGUUCUAAGCUAGAUGGUACACCCUACAAGUUUAUUAUCCUAUGGGCUGUAUGGGAUCCAUCUUGAUUCGCUAUCCAAGCCACCUAUCCAAGUUUGCUGCAAGGAUAGGAGUAUCUUGUCUGAGUAAACAACUUCUUAAAGAAACUAUACGGUGAUAAUCCAUAUUUAAGGGCAAAAUCACUCCCGCAUAGGCAAAAUAUAAUUUUGGGCUAUGAGUUAUCUGAACUCGUGCCUUCUUCAGGUAACCAUCUAACUCUCUUGGAGCAUAUUUGUAGCCUCUUAAAGCAUGCAUUUUUCUCAAAACAUAGUAAAAAGUCUGAGAAGUCCAUAGUCUAGCUCGGUCUUAGUCUAUCAUGGCAAUCGUCUGAAUUGGUAUCAUCAUACCAAAACUUGCAAGUCAUAUAAGCCAUAUUAUAUCAUGUCAUGUCAUUCCAUGGUAUUUUUAUUUAAAACAUGUUAUUUGGACACCAAACUAAGAUUUACAUCUCACAAGAGAGUCUUUAUUUCAAAAGUAUAUGAAAACUUAUGCAAAAGCACUCUUUUUUCAAGAAUUUAACAUGGGGUGGCCAUCUCUUUCAUCAAUCACCUAGAAUUCUUAUGUUUGACACAAACAACAUUUAUGAGACACAAAAACACCCUCUCAAUUGAUCAUAAAACAAUGCCAAUCCAUAAGUGAUUGUAAUGUAUUUAACCUCACGAUUUUAAAUCAUUCGUUUGAGCAAACCAUGACAUGUUAAGGCAAUAGAUUUAAUCUUGAGAGAGUAAAUUUCAUAAAUCAUACUGUUAAAUCAAUUUUCAAAACUCAUAUCAUAAAUGUACAGGAUUAUAACUCAGGUUUAUGGAAAAACUCCAUGAUAAAUGCGUACUUUCAUUAAAAUAAGUUCAUGAUGCAAGAUCUUCAAACGGUUUUUAAAACCCAUUACAUAUACAUAUAUCUACAUUUUAAAGCUUGUUAAAACCUUAAAUUUAUGCCCAUGAGAGUUAGGACGUCCUACAUACCUUGAGAACGACAAGAAUGUAGAGUAAUUUGACCCUUGGAGCUUAGAAUUCCUCAAACCCUAGCUAGUUUCCUCUUCUCUUGCUAUUAGGGUUAUAAUUAGGUAUUUACUAUGGUGUAAAACGUUUUAAGGCACUAUAUGAAUUCAUAAUUAAUUCAAAAUUAUUUAAUGUUUUGAAAAGACCCAUAUGACCUUUAAAUAAUUCAAAAUAGAGCAAUUUUUGAAGCACGGGAGAGGGUUUACGGUGUGACCCCCAUUGCAGGAGGUUUGUGGCGCGAUCCCUAGUGUGAUUCUGGAGGUCUGCUAUGCGACCCUGGCACUAUCUCGAGGAACUGACCAUUUGAGGGUCCCUCUUUGGUGUGGUGCCAUUGUAGUGUGCCCGUUACACGACACAAACACAUUUUUUUUCAUGUCUAAACCACCUCCAACCCAUUCAACUCAACAUGACAUGAUUAAACAUCGAUAUUGGGGUCCUAAAGGCUUAUUUUAUGCAUUAUUUAAGCAUUAAAAAGUUUGGGAUGUUACCGUUGUACCUUGUUGUUACUUUGGGGGGGGGGAGAGAUUAUAGUGAACUACCAUUUUGUAAUGUUGAAAAAUCAGGCAUACACAAAGAAAGCUAUAAAGGAGUACAUGCAUAUAAUAAAGACAACCAACAUAAACACAUAGUUCACGCAAAGUCUGCUUAAUAAUAAUCAGGAAUACCACUUGAAGCAUGAGCAGAUAUCUUGAAACAAAUCUGUCUUCGAAUAUGCGGUCUCCUACAGUGAUUCUAAAUUCAUAAUCGAACUCUCUCGAUACUUGGCUCAAAAAGUACUAAAUAAAAUACUCAAUUAUUCUUCUUUUCUAGGCUUGGGGAAUCUUUAUUUAUAGAGAUACUCUACCAUUCAAAGAAGGAAAUAAAAACACACCCUUGUUUCUACUUGAAUAAGGACAGGUGGUAACGUUUUUUUUUCCUAUAGAAAAUUAGAAUUUUGAGUUUUAGUAGAAUAUGAUCACUGUAGGGACCACAAAAUUAAUUACUAAGGCUCCAUAUUAUGGAAAUUAUUCUAAACACUAAUUUGAAUUAUUCUUACCAUAAUAAAUUACUAAUUAUUCCACUAAAAAUUUGUAAUUGCACUCCUUUACUUUUAUUUUGAAAUUUUCCAUUAAACACUUAUGUAAUUUCCAUGUUAAGAUUACAGAUAUUAACUAAAAAAAUUAAAUUACUAACAAAUUUAAUAUAAUAAUUAAUUUUCUUUAGAGUAGUACUUUACUUAUUUCAUAUGUUGGAAUUAUAAAUCCUCCAGUCAGGAAAACAUAUUAAAACUUAUAAGCUUCUCAUAAUAGACAUAUCAUCAAUCUCUAUACCGAGACAUGGAUUCCAUCAACUAACUUAUUAUUUCACCAGUAUACAUUAUUAAAAUCCAAUCUACUAGGAAUAUUGGCCCAUCUCAGAAUCUCACCUUUUAAUAGUUUAGGGAAUAAGUUUUUAUCAGUCAGUCCAAAACAACUAUCUCAACUCGGUCCUGUUCAAUACAUACAAAAUGUACUAGAAUGAGAAGUUAGAACUAUACCAUUCUCAUAAUCAACAUAAAUUACAUUUAAUCUCGUGCUACAAUAAUUCUGAAGAUUUGUCCACAUUUUCAUCUAUGAUUAUGAACUAUAACUUUAACUUAUAAGAACUGAUGAUUUAAUCUUCUGCGUAUAAACUAAACUCUAUACACCCAAUUAUAUACUAUAUAAGUUGAGCACACAUACAUGACAAUAAUCCAUUUAAUAUAAUGAUUUAUUGAAUUGAAUAAAUAAAUAAAUAAUUAUUCAAUAAACAAUGCUACAUGAUUUAUAGUAUAUCCUAAUCUCCUACUUAGACUCCUAACCAUGCACCCACAACUCUAUCACCCAAUUCUUCUACAUGUCUUUUAAAAUGUUUUUGUAGGAAAGCUUUUGUAAAAAGGUCUACUAGGUUGUUUUUUGAGGCAAUCUUAGCAACAACCAUAUUUCCUUUUUACACUAUAUCUCGAAUCAAACUAUAUUUUCUCCCAAUGUGUGUUUCUUUACUAUUUCUUCAUGGUUCCUGUGAAUUUGCAACCGCACCACUAUUGCCAAAAUAAAUUACAAGUGAUGCUUCUAUCACAGGGAAAACUGCCAAGUCUUUGAGAACGUUUUGAGCCAUACUACCUCUUUUGUUGUCUCAAAAGUUGCUACAUAUUCAGCUUCCAUGGUGGAAUCAGUAACACAAGUUUUCUUAAUGCUCCUCCAAACAAUGGUUGAACCUCCCAAAAUAAACACAUUUUCAUAGUUUGAUUUUCUAGAGUCCUUGUUAGACUAGAAAUCUUAGUCUAUGUACCCUAUAGGCACCAACUUAUUCAAAUGGUAAAAUAGCAUAUAAUCCCUAGUCCUUUCAGGUACUUGAUAAUGUGCCUAACUAUUAGGAUGAAAUCUGUUAAGCUGCCCACGACAAAACAAAUAUUAGGUCUAGUGCACAACAUCAAAUACAUGAGGCUUCUCGAUGCAUAAGGAACUGCCUUUAUGUUUUCUAUUUCCUCAUCUAUCUUAGAACAUUGGUUCUUAGAAACAGAAAUUUCAAGUCUAAUAGGAAGAAAUCCUUUCUUAGAAUCAUGCAUGCUGAACCUGGUAAGAAUUAUAUCAAUAUUGUAACACCGUACAUUUUUGGGCUAGAAUUCAAAUCGUUGUUCCUAAGUAUAUAGAACCAAACCCAGUGAUUUUAUGUCUAUAUAUGUGUGAUGAUCAAAACUAUAGUGUGAAAAUUUCCUUUUAUAUCAGUCGAGGUCAUAAAAUUCUCCAAACUCAAAGACGAGUUCAGAACAUUUCUAUUGAUUAAGUUUUAGCAAACAUUUCAUCUUUGGUGAACUUUCAACGAUCAUUACUCCCUGUCCAUAAUGAGUUCCGUGGAGUACUAUAUAUCAAAAGAAAUAUAUUUGAAUAUUGUUUCCAACACAUUUAGUUUCACCUUAAUCAAUUAUCGGAACAAAAAGUUAAACCCAUUUUACUCCAGCAUGACAACCUAUCAACAAAGUGAUGACCUGAGCUGACGGGCCAUCACCUAUGUGACGACUUAUCAGCCCAAGUCAUCAGCCUUAGGAAAAACAUCAUCAAUCCCAUCUUCUAAGUGGCGACCUGGGGUGACGAGCCGUUACCUAAGUGAUGACUUAUCAGCUCAAGUCGUCACCCAUAAAAUCCAGCAAUCCCUAUACGGAUUGGGAGGGGUAUUUUGGUAUUUUCCCUCACCUCCCAUGACGUAAAUAAUCAAAAAUACGUACAUGGACAUCAUAAAUCAGUUUUAAAAACCCUUAAUCCUCUCCACUCUCAAGAACAAGAUUAUGGUUUCUUUUAAGGUAAUCUCCCAAGAAUUUCAAGACUCCAUUACACUCUUUACAAGAUUAUCAAGAAUUUAAGGUUCCCAAUCCAAGAACAUUCUAGAAAAGUCAAUUCUCUUUCAAGAUUAAAUCUCUAAGGUAUGUUAGAUGUUCAUCCAUGAGCCCUUCUCACCCAUGGAGUCCAAGAAUCCAUUUUAAGAGUUAAAUCAUGAGUUUACAUCUUUACAACAAACUAUCUCCGUGAAUCAUUAUGGUUUUCGAUUAUAGAUGAUGUUUACAAGGAGUCGUUGUUGAAAUUAAACUUUAAUCAUUAAAUUAUGGUUUAGUAUUAUAGCCAUGUAAUUAUCAUAUGUUUUAAACUAUUCCAAUGCUUAAGUCAUGCAUUGUAAGUGUUUGAUGAAAUGCCUCAAAGAAUGAGUUUUGAAUAUUGACUACAUGUCAUGUCCUCAAUGUUUUAGUAAGAUUUUGCUAUUAUUGCUAUCGAGUCUUGGGGGUUUGAAUACCCAAAAUUGCUAUUUUACUUAGUUUUCAAUACCCAUAAAAUGAUUUUAGAAUAUUCCAUGAGCAUUAUCUCUUCUUCCAGUCAUCAUAAUUAGUUAAACUUAGAUUAGUUCAGAAUUUAGUGUCAUUUAGUUGGGAGUAGGAUUUAGCACCGAGCAAAUGCAGGGAUGGUGAAUUUCCCGUUAGUUACAAAGAGUCAUUAGUAGCAGUCCCUGCAUUCCAGAACUUUGUAGCCAGCGUAGGAUGAAGAGUCACUCAUCAAAUUAGGCUCGACUACCUCCCAAUGGUCACCUAUCAGAUUAGGCUUGACUCCACCUAGGUGUCACCCAUCAGUUUAGGCAUGACAUCUUGGUUUUGCAGAAGCUUAGUGGAUCCACAUAGCCAUUGUUGGUACCUAUGGAAUGGUACUAACACCCUUUCACCUAGGGUUAUAUGUUGAACCCCAAUCAGUUCAGAGCGGGGCAUGUCGGUUAGAUAAUACCUCCUAGAGUUUUAGUUUCAGUAUUCAGUACAAAACUCAGUUCAGUUUUUCUUGACCAUAGCUUACAGUUUAUCAGUUAUUCAAUUAUCAAAUUUUUGUAUUUCAAUUACAUAAUAUAUCAGAAAUAUAUUAUAUGCUUAGUCAUGCAGUCUUACAUUUUAUAGCUUUCAUACAUUGAUAUUCAAUAAUCUCAUGCUAACUAGUCAGUCUUUGCUUCAUGCAUGUUCACUAAUGUAAUACCCCAUACUUUUCCUAGCUAAUUUCAUGUCAAGAAUGUCUAGUAUUAGCUUCUAAAUUUAAUGAUGGUUAUUCUAAGAGGUAUUUUAAAGAUUUUCACCUUUUGUCAUAUGGGAAAUUUAAUAAGCUUUCCAUCGAUAUAAUAUUCACUGAAAUUCGAUAACCGAGUCAGAAGAUACGACUAUUUUAAGUUUCCAUCGUAAAAAAGUGCCAUACAGAGGAAAUGAAAUUUGACUAAUUCCAGUAGGGGUCCACGAUUAUGGCCCUUUUCUAGUGUCUUAGCGCGAUUCCCUCCACAUCGUGCCAAAGUUUCAAGUCGUAAAAGAAGGAGAAACGCAAGGGUCCACAUUGUGCCAUCCCUCAGUUUCCCAAUUGUCAAAUUCUAGUGACAGGGUGUGAUAGCACCUUGUCGCGCCAGGGGUUCAGUUUGGGAAAAGUUUACUGAAAUUAAAUGACGCAUCCAGGGUUAAAAGGGUCAACUUCCCACCCCUAUUUAAGUAUUUUAACAUGUGAUUCAGCCACUUUUCACCCAAUACACUCUCUUCUCUCAAAAACCUCUCAAAGAACAAGCUAGGGUUUUCAUAGAAGAUCUAAUUUUAAGAAAUUUUCACCGUCAGUCUUUACAUCAUGAACAAAGCUAUGCAUAGUGUUCAUUCAUCAACUCCUUUCGUCCAUAAAGUCCAAGAAUCCCUUUUCCAACUUCAAGUUAUGGAUUUUCUUUAUAAUUUCAUGAUUGGUCUAUUUUUGUUCAUGUUGAUAAAUGAUAUAUUGAAUUCUACUCCAUGUUGGGUGAUAAUUUUUAUAUGGGUUUAAUUAUUAUAGAUAUAGAUUCAUGGAAACCUAUGACUAAAGCCUUAACUGAUGAAAUUAGAAUGUGACCAUGAUGUUUAAUUGUUGUAAAAUGAUGUUUACAUGUACCAUGCCUACAACAUGUUUGAUUUAAUGCCUAUAUGAAGGAAAAGUGCCUAACUAGCAUGUUG